Molecule: long non-coding RNA, 2338 nt
Organism: Lolium perenne
Lineage: Eukaryota; Viridiplantae; Streptophyta; Magnoliopsida; Poales; Poaceae
Source: RefSeq, a predicted model, not a curated record
CCCCUUCGCCGCCCCCUCUCCAGCCUAGAUCCCGGCCAACUCCGGCGAUCCCCCUGCACCUCCGACCACCACCCCCGAACCCCUCCUCCUCCCCUCUCAACUCCACCACGUGGAACCACCAAAUUUCACCCCAACAGAAACCCUAGCCUGAGAUCUCGAGUGUAUAGAGAGGAGUAGAGGUCAAGCUCAGGUCUUUUCCGCCCAUGGCGACGGCGGCACCUCGGAGUCGCGUGGAGGAGGGAAGCAUGGUGGCCAGAUGAAUCGCGCUGGGCAGAUGCGGCCAUCCAGCAAGCGGCGGCCUUCACCGAUGCCGCGUUAUUGGGUACUGCGUGGCCGGUCGGUCACCGAGUCCGGGUGCCACGGACGUCUCUAGCGCUGUCCGGCCCUCCUCCCCGUUCUUCUUCAAUUCCUGGCCGGCAUACACCGACAAAGACGCCUGGAUGGUUCCACGUUCUGUUCCUCCCCGUGUAUUUAUUGCAAUAAAUCGAAUGUUUCUGCCAUUUAGCAUUGUUUGGUAUCUAGAUUGAUACUAGUACUGAAGCAAGCAAUUUUAUUUGUGAGUAUUCAUCUAAUUCCACAAUCUGGUUAUAAAGACGAAAGACCUCACUUGGUGAAGUGCAGUUAUCUUUGUUGGUUAUUGACUAAAUUGAGACAACUGUAAAUAUUCUAUAUGAUCACAGUACCGCCUUUUACCUUCUAUUUUCAUAUAUAUCAUGACAUAAUGCCUUGGUACUAUAAUCUGCCCUUAUUUAUUACUUUUUUGUUGUUGUCAUGUUUGUGUGCAUGUUUGAGCGGCACUUGAAUGCAAUAAAUCUCUGAUUGGAUAUUAGACUCUCAAAUUUCAAUAGUGGCACUUAAAUUUCUGUUGUCAAAGUAACCUGCAAGUUGAUUUUUUAUAUCCACGCAACAAAUAUGACGUUUGUCUUGUGAUUAUAUUACAUAUAGCACUGGCUUUGCUAGCACUUUCUUUACCAUAGUAUCUAGAUGCCCUGAUAUUUUUUUGUAGAGUGUAAGAUGAGUUAGUGAGUAAUUCGAGUUUAACACAAGCAUGGAAUUUUACAUCAGAUAAUCGAUUUGUUACAGUAUUGCAUAUAUCUGAGAUAACAUGUGCAACUUCCAUCGUUUGUAACAAUUAUUUACCACUAAUAAAUCUGACCUCCAUUUUCUCAUUUUGUUAAGUUAAUUAGCAGCACAAUAACUUGGACAGUAGUAAUUGUUUCCUCUCAACUGUGUGCUUUCAAUUGUUAAUUUUCCCAGAGAUAUGCUUGUUAUACAAAUUAUAAUAUACUGUCUUUGUAAAUAAUAGCUCACUUUUGGUGUUCUAGUAAACUUCUAGAGGAUGUUUUUAAUUUUCGUGUUCCUGAUGCUAUGUGCAGACAAAGGCCCACAAGGAUUUUUCUAAUGUUAUCAUGACGUAGGUAGGUUUGCAUAGGCUCAGCACAAAGAGAAGCGCUAGCUUGUCUGUGAGAAUAUGAUGACAACCAUGGCACCGGUUUCUCAGUGUUGAGCUCACUGUGCUGCAACUGAAGCAACAAUCUUCUCUGGAUUAGUUAAGUCAUCUCUCUAUCCCAUUCUCCUCUCCGAUGCUUGGUUCAUGGGACAUGAUGCCAUGCAUUAUAUUUUGAUCCAAGUCCAAAUGUGCUAUGGAAGCUUUGGAUGUUAUUUUCUGGUUACUGCUAUUUGUUGUGUUGUACCUGUUGCUUUAUUUUCGACUUUAUGUCAAGAUAUGAUCUGUGUAAAAUGGAAAAUAAUGUACUCCUACUCCAUUUCUCUCUUUCUGAAUUUAUUGGCUGCAUGAUGUUAUCCUGCGAUAGUAUCUAGAUGAGUGAUACUCUUUUAUUUCCCUUGUGGUCAUGCUCUUAUUUCACUUCACUGAACUGUGAAACUGUUAUUCUGGCCAGUAUCUGUUUCUUGAAUGGUUUUGAUUGUUGGCUUGACCUUCGGAUGGUUGUUGUUGUGCAGGAUGGAUGGACGAGCCUAUGACAGAUGCUUGUUCUUGGACUGGUGGUGGUACUGUGGUAGGUAGCCAGCCGCUGCUAAGCGACGCCGGAGGGAAUGGUGCAUAUGGGGAGAAGUUGGCAUGUUGCCAUAGUGUUGGUGGACGGGAGAGGUCCUGAUGAAGCAGCCGCAAAAAGGGGACCUGGAGGUUGUGAGCUGAGUCUGGCUGGCCGGAAGGACGUUCUUUAGUUCUUGGUGAUUCUACCGAUGAUGGAUGUUGUCUGCUGUAGGGAUAUCUUCAUGCGGUGGGUUUAUAUUUUUGUAACAUUCAGUUGCAUCCUCGUGUCUUGUACAUGUCAACUGUAUUUUAUUUUGUCUCUCUUCAAAAUAAUUUCAUGUA